This is a long non-coding RNA of Lytechinus pictus (painted urchin), 4324 nucleotides long. RefSeq lists it as uncharacterized. Lineage: Eukaryota; Metazoa; Echinodermata; Echinoidea; Temnopleuroida; Toxopneustidae. The record is from RefSeq and is a predicted model, not a curated record. The transcript has 3 exons.
CAGUUAGAGGAGUUAGUCACAAGCUGGAAUACAAGACACAAACCUAUAGGUGUCAUCUUUUCACGUGAACUUUGGCAGGAACACAGAAAGUAUUACAACACAUACAAUGAAAUCAGGAAACUUACACAUUAUCUUCGCCAACACAACCAAGAGUUUAUUGAACUAUGCCAAGAGCUACGAGGUGCUGCAAGACAUUCAUUUGAUUCACUCAUUUUACUACCGGUAAGUUGAAAGGAUGGAGAUGAUGGCGAGAAGGAGGAGGAGGAGGAUGGUGAUGAUGAGAAUGACAAUUUUCCCAAUUAUAAUCAUGUGGAAGUGAUAUGGAUAACAAAAAGACAGUUAUUAUGAGAAUGUUGCUGGUGAUGAGGAUGAUGAUGAAUAUAAUGAUGUUGCUGGUGAUGAUGAUGAUGGUUGUGGUGGUAGUGGUGAUGAUAAGGAUGAGGAUGACAAUUUUCAAGAUUAUAAUGGUGUGGUGGUGAUAUGGAUAAACAUAAAGACAGUAAUGAUGAGAAUGUUGUUAAUGGUGAUGAUGAAUAUGAUGAUGAUGAUGUGGAUAAUGAUGGUGAUGAUGAUGGUGAUGAUGAUGAUGGUGGUUGUGGUGGUAGUGACGGUGUUGAUGGUGGGAGUGGUAUUGGUAGUGAUGGCAGUGAUGGUGGUGGUGCUUUUGUUGAUGCAGUCAACAUUUUAAACACUAUUGCAACCUACAUUUGAUUGCUUCAUCUCAAUUCUUGAAGCUCUCGAUCAAGAUCAGCCCAUGUACCAUUUCGCACGUACAUCAUGCCUACUUUCAAGCAUACUGGAUCAAGUUCAACUCCACGACAAAACCAUACCCAGACGCAAUAAAUCUUUGCGAAUUGGCUGGUCGACAUGGCAAGUUAAUUGGGCAGAUUUUGAACGAGACUCGUCUCGUAAAACCCUGUAUGAAUUGAGAACAGAGCACUUGGCAUGCUAUGCCGAAGUCUACUGAUUUUAUUAUUCCCUAUCCGUAAGACCCAAUUUCAAGUGAACCUAUAGGCCUACAACGCAAUCUUAUACUUGAUGAUAUAAUAUAAUUUCUCCCCAAAUGUACUUAUGUAUGGUUUGUGCAAGUAGGCCUACAGUUGGUAAAAGGAAAAAAAUGAAGGAAUGACGUAUUCAGUGAAAUUCCUGUGUGUGACUUAUGACGUACAUGUGAGAUGAAUUACUGCCUAGACCUAAUUGAAAUUGUGUAAGAACAUCUAUAUGAAACUGAAGAUGAAUAAAGAGUAAGCCUACCUCUGUGUAGUUCAGUGAUAAGCUCUCUAUUUGUACAUCCAGGGACUAUGAGGGAUGAUAGUGAGAGUGAGACGUGUAUCAUCCCAAGUAGCAUCUGAGCACUGUUAAGGGGGAAAUCAUUACUUAUUAAAAAUGAUGAUUUCUAGGUCUUGGUAUUAAAAGAUGGAUGUAAAUCGGAAAAGAAAUAAAGCUGCACUGAGCAAGAAAUUAGUUAUGUAUGUUAAAAUAGUAAACACAGUAAAUAAAGGUAUUCUGACCCAAUUCUGAUAGAGAUUGAGGUCAAUGACCCCAGAGCUGGACUAGGUCAUUCCGACCUUGUUUUUCAUGUCCAAAGUUGACCUGAUUUUGAUUGUUUGAUGUUGGUCAAUUUUUUAAAGACUAAUUUCUUGCUAUGAAUUACAGAUCCUCCCACAAUUUUUCUUAGAUUAUCAUUUUUUGUCUUCAAAUUAUUAUAUGAGAUAAAUUAUUUCAUAAGGUUUAUGAUUAUAUUGUGAUGAAAUUUAUUACAGUAUAAUCAUUAAUACACUAAUGAAUGUAUGAAUGCAUACACAUAUGAACAGGCAGAAAACUGAAUGAUAGAAAUAAAUAAAUGUAAGAAUUUGUAAAUUAAUAAAACUGAAUAAAACUAUUAAAAUAAAUAAACAGACCCUGAAUAUAAUUUAUAAAUAGAUCAGUGUUAAAUUUUACAAAUUAGAUAACAGGUGAGUCUACAAGAUCUAUCCAGUUCACAAAGUGAGUCCUUCAUCAAUUGCAGAUACAUGUUAUUUGAAGCCGGGCCUAUUCCUGUGGUUUGUAUUUAUUUCAUCCUUUUCUCAUUGACCCAGACUAAUUUCCCUUUUUGAAAGUGAUGCAAAUCCUCCAAAUAUGAAGCGAUAUCCUUGCUUUUCUUUGCUUCGAGCCUCUCUAUUUCCUUUUCCCUGUUACACCCUUUUUACUGUUAGAUAUCUUGAUAUUUCCCAUUUUUCUUUCCCUCAAGCCUCUCUUGUUCCAUUUCCUUGUGAGAUAUGACACCAAUUUCUCCUUUGUUCACAAAGUUAAGUUGAAAUGCUGUCUAUACAUUAAAAAUUCCUUUUUCAAAGACUGAAAACGUUUUGCUUUAAUUUCAAGUAUGGAGAUACAUGUGGUCGGUAGUGAUAUUUUUCUUAAUCAAGAUAAAAUAAAAGUUAUAAAAUAAACCAAGAUGCGAAUACUUUUCUGGACAAUGAUUUAAAUCCUUGUCAAUUAUUAUAAUAAAACCAAUACAACCAAUGCUAGAAUUUGAAACAUCCCUUGCCUGAUGGAAUGGUAUGAAGAUCUUUGGGAAAUCUAUGGAUCCAUUUCGAAUGUCAUAAGUGACCAUUUACAAAUACUUGCACUGUUUUCCAGAAAUGUGCUGAAAUUCAUAGACAAUCAUGAGUGGAAAAAUGAAAUGAUCUUCUUCAUGUAUCCUUCAUUUCCUAGGCGGAUAAUUUGAUACUUAUGUUUAGGCACGUAAUUCUGGGCCAUCUUACAAAGAGUUACUAUUGAUCUCAUCAACCGUAACUCUGGAAAUCCAUCAGUGUCAUCAUUUUUUCUACAGGAAAUUUGCAAAAUGUCCUUUGUAAACAAAGGAGAACACACCAAAUUGUCAAGAAAUCAAUUAAUUUAUGGAUAUACAUUCAUUCUAGAAAUUUUUUGAACAAACAUGCAUUUUAUAUGUUGACUUUGCUGGCUUUCCAUAGUUGCAAUUGAUCCGAUCAAUCGCAACUCUUUGUAAGACGGGCCCCAGAUCAAUAACUACCUAAUAAUAUAUUUGAAUUAUCUGAUAAAAUGGCAGAAGUUCAUGUUCAUGUACACCAUUGACGGCUUUUCUAAAUUCAGCUGGUAUCCGAUUCCAUACAUAAGUGUGAGUAAUGAGGACUCAAAGGAUUAUGAAUGUCAGUGACAAUGGACCUGAUUCGAUAUCCUGUAUUAUUACAAUGUACAUGUUUGAUAAUUUCUAUAUUGAUGGAAAUUGAAUGAUUUAACCUGGGAAAUGUAACAGUGGCUUAACAAAUGAAAGGGCUUCCUUAUGAAGUACUUUUAGUAGUAAUAAAUUUGAAAAAAGUCUGAUGUAGUCUUGUAAGAAAUGGUAAAUCUAUUUAUUCAGUGUGUUGCAGUGUUUGUUUUACUUCAAGUUGGUCAAUAUAGUCCCAAGAAUUAGACCUGAGUUUAUCAGAUGUCCUCCACUAAUCGAUUUGAACUUGGUAAAAAUUAUCUUGUUGAACGUUGAUAGGUGUAUUUGUCUAAGUAGGGUAGGCCUAUUGUCUUCCUCAGGUGUUCUUCAAAAGUUGACUUGAACUUGAUGAAUUCUUCUUUAACACCAAGCUUGUGUGUGAAUGUGGCUUGGUGUUUUCAGGUGUUCUCAUGUUUAACUUGAAUUUAACCUUGAUGAAAUUGUCAUGUGUGAAUAGGGCCUGGUGUUUUCAGGUUUUCUCAGGUUUUUCUUGAACUUCAACUAGAUGAACUCAUUGUGUGUGAAUGAGACAUGGUGUCAUCAGGUGUUUUAGUAAAGUUCUCUCUGUACUCUGAACCAGAUUUGUGUGUAGUGUGAAUGGGUCUUGGUGUUUUCAGGUGUUCUCGUCAGGUUUACUUGAACUUGGUGAACUUAUUAAACAUCAGGGGUUGUGUCAUACCUUGACACAUCAGCUAUAUAGGUCAGCUUAUGUUCAGGUUUGUCUGUGACACCACAUACAAUCCCGCGGCGAUGAGAGAGUCAACAUACGUGCUAGUUUGAUUGAAACAAAGACAUGAAAAUAUAUUAGAUAACGGCAAAUAGGGUAAAUUGAGUUGGAUCAAGGAGUGCUUGAGAUUUUAUAGAGGAGAGAGAGAGAGAGAAAGAUGGCUGGUACCCAAGUUCGUACUGAGAUAUGAUGUAAGACAUUUAGAUUUGACAAUUCUCAUUGUUUGCUGCCAAAGCAAUGAUAGACAAGACCCAUUGCCACGUUUGAAAAGGGGGCUAAGUACUUUUCAAAAUUCAAAUACACAACACAAAGUGAAAACCUAUUGAACUAAAUAUUCAAUAGAAUGAUGAUUAUGUAGGCCGAGAUUGUAUCGUUCAUUAAAGAAAUUG